CAGUCGCCGCGGUAAAACGAGGGGGGCAAGCGUUGUUCGGAAUUAUUGGGCGUAAAGGGCGCGUAGGCGGUUUGGCAAGUUUGGUGUGAAAUCUUCGGGCUCAACUCGAAGUCUGCACCGAAAACUGCCGGGCUUGAGUAUGGGAGAGGUGAGUGGAAUUUCCGGUGUAGCGGUGAAAUGCGUAGAUAUCGGAAGGGACACCUGUGGCGAAAGCGGCUCACUGGACCAUUACUGACGCUGAGGCGCGAAAGCUAGGGGAGCAAACAGGAUUAGAUACCCCCGUAGUCCCUGUCUCUUAUAA
RNAcentral lists this ribosomal RNA (301 nucleotides) under uncultured bacterium. RNAcentral's name for it is "partial 16S ribosomal RNA". It matches the Rfam family "Bacterial small subunit ribosomal RNA", at positions 509 to 809 of the family's 1533-position model. The record is from RNAcentral.